Mobula hypostoma (lesser devil ray) is the source of this 444-nucleotide non-coding RNA. The record is from the annotation of a RefSeq genome assembly. NCBI's taxonomy places the organism in Eukaryota, Metazoa, Chordata, Chondrichthyes, Myliobatiformes, Myliobatidae.
AUGGGAAUUAUCCCAUCAACAUCUGAAGCCGCGGCGUUCAUAUGCUGUGAGAUUGAGAGUCGGAUCGCGGUGUGUUACUAUGAUACUUACUAUGAAGAUGGAACUGGGUCUACGGUCACCGUCACAGUCGAUCCUAUGUCCAUGGUAUCCAAGAAUCCUCCUCUAAAAUCUUCUUAUUCUGAUGACGUCGUCACAUUAAGCUGCGAAUAUUUCGGGUUUUGUCCAUACACGAUACACUGGUACCGGCAGCUCCAAGCAAAGCCUCCAGAAUUUCUGCGCCAGACGCAUACCUCUGGAGAUCAGGAUCAGGAAAAUGCUGCCGAAGGACACUUCCUCGGUUCUCUCGAUCGGGAAAAUAAAAUCAGCAUGUUAAAGAUCUUCAAACUGCAAUUGAGCGACUCGGCUUUCUACCAAUGUGCCAUCAGUCGCCGAAGGGCACAGUGA